AUGAAGAUGAAACUGAACGCAUAAAGACCCACAAACAAAAAGCAACUGAAGGAAGCUGCAGUAAAGGCCCAGCAAAGCAUCUCAAGGGAGGAGAAAAAUAAGAAAUCAGUACAGGUUCCAAUUUUCAAGUACUUUUUGACUGCAAUGAACUCAAAGUAUUAACAGCAAUCCUUAUAAUGUAAGUCUGUCCAAUGAGCUUUGGCCUCUGAAAAUGGAGGAACUGGGUAUAAAAAUGUCUUUAAUUCCUAAAUGGUUAAUGUGAUAUUUUUCUUAAAAGUCUACACUUCAAUCACCUCAUGAUCGUUUCAUCUCGGCUCCACUGUGGUGGUGCAAAGACACAAAAUUACAAAAUAUGUUGUCAGUCCAAAUGAUUAUGAUCCAACUAACUGUACCUGUGACCUUUGACACAGUAAAGAAACCAGGUCAGACACAAGCUGACCGUUUGUGGUUGAGUUUUUCAAUUAAAUUGGUUUCCUAGAAAAAAAAAUGCUUCUGUUAAUAGACCUGGUAUUUUUUUUUUCUGCCACCAUACAGUAAGUACCCUCACUGGCCACUUUAUUAGGUACACCUUGCCAGUAUCCAGUUGGACU
Long non-coding RNA from Thalassophryne amazonica, 590 nucleotides. RefSeq lists it as uncharacterized. NCBI's taxonomy places the organism in Eukaryota, Metazoa, Chordata, Actinopteri, Batrachoidiformes, Batrachoididae. The transcript is spliced from 4 exons. The record is from RefSeq and is a predicted model, not a curated record.